AGUCGAGCGGACAGAUGGGAGCUUGCUCCCUGAUGUUAGCGGCGGACGGGAGAGUAACACGUGGGUAACCUGCCUGUAAGACUGGGAUAACUCCGGGAAACCGGGGCUAAUACCGGAUGGUUGUUUGAACCGCAUGGUUCAAACAUAAAAGGUGGCUUCGGCUACCACUUACAGAUGGACCCGCGGCGCAUUAGCUAGUUGGUGAGGUAACGGCUCACCAAGGCAACGAUGCGUAGCCGACCUGAGAGGGUGAUCGGCCACACUGGGACUGAGACACGGCCCAGACUCCUACGGGAGGCAGCAGUAGGGAAUCUUCCGCAAUGGACGAAAGUCUGACGGAGCAACGCCGCGUGAGUGAUGAAGGUUUUCGGAUCGUAAAGCUCUGUUGUUAGGGAAGAACAAGUACCGUACGAAUUGGGUGGUACCUUGACGGUACCUAACCAAAAAGCCACGGUUAACUACGGGCCACCAGCCCCGGUAAUACUUAGGUGGCAAGCGUUGUCCGAAAUUAUUGGGCGUAAGGGGGUCGCAGGCGGUUUCUUAAUCUUGAUGUGAAAGCCCCCGGCUCAACCGGGAAGGGUCAUUGGAAACUGGGGAACUUGAUUGCAAAAAAGGAGAGUGGAAUUCCACGUGUAGCGGUGAAUUGCUUACAGAUGUGAAGGAACACCAUGUGGCAAAGGCGACUCUCUGGUCUGUAACUGACGCUGAGGACCGAAACCGUGGGGAGCGACCAGGAUUACAUACCUGGUUAUUCCACUCCGUAAACAAUGAUUGCUAACUGUUGGGGGGUUUCCCCCCCUUUACUGCUGCAGCUAACGCAUUAAGCACUCGACCGUGCGCGAGUACGGUCGCAAGACUGAACUCAAGAGAUUUGACGGGGCCGGCACACCCGGUGAAGCAUGGAGUUUAGUUCAAGCUAGCGCGAAAACCUUUACCAGGUCUUGACGUCCUCUGACAAUCCUAGGAGAUAGGGCUUCCCCUUCGGGGAGGCGACGUGACAGGGUGGGUGCAUGGAUUGCGUUCGCCUCGGUCGUGAAAUGUUGGGAUCAGUCCGCUACCGAGCGCACCCGUUGGACUACUGGCAGCAUUCACUUGGCACUAUAUGGCGACUUGCGGGUACAACGGAGCAGGUGCGGGAUG
RNAcentral lists this ribosomal RNA (1140 nucleotides) under Bacillus sp. 5RB2. Its description in RNAcentral is "bacterial SSU rRNA". It matches the Rfam family "Bacterial small subunit ribosomal RNA", at positions 60 to 1181 of the family's 1533-position model. Lineage: Bacteria; Bacillati; Bacillota; Bacilli; Caryophanales; Bacillaceae. The record is from RNAcentral.